This is a long non-coding RNA of Triticum dicoccoides, 310 nucleotides long. RefSeq lists it as uncharacterized. The transcript has 3 exons. The record is from RefSeq and is a predicted model, not a curated record. NCBI's taxonomy places the organism in Eukaryota, Viridiplantae, Streptophyta, Magnoliopsida, Poales, Poaceae.
AGAAAUGGUGCAUCCCUAGCCAUCGCAGAUAUAGAUGCACAUCAGCUGAUCAGCCCUGUUAACCAUACCGAAGUGGGGGACAAUGCUGGCACACUUAUAGUUAGCAUGCGUGAUGCCACGGACCAGGCAAUGAGUGAAUCAGGUGAAGACGAUGAAAGCUACGACACUGCUUCAGAAGAUGAUCGACAGUUGGUUGCAGCAAUAGAUGCCUCCCUUGCAGAUCAGGCACGUGUAGCACGACUGCCGCCUGUGGUAAUUGAGGAAGGAGGCUACGAAGCUCGUCAACGCAGCCGCAUAGUGGAAAUUGCAG